AUUGAACGCUAGCGGGAUGCUUUACACAUGCAAGUCGAAUGGCAGCGCGGACUUCGGUCUGGCGGCGAGUGGCGAACGGGUGAGUAAUGUAUCGGAACGUGCCCAGUAGCGGGGGAUAACUACGCGAAAGCGUAGCUAAUACCGCAUACGCCCUACGGGGGAAAGCAGGGGAUCGUAAGACCUUGCACUAUUGGAGCGGCCGAUAUCGGAUUAGCUAGUUGGUGAGGUAACGGCUCACCAAGGCGACGAUCCGUAGCUGGUUUGAGAAGACGACCAGCCACACUGGGACUGAGACACGGCCCAGACUCCUACGGGAGGCAGCAGUGGGGAAUUUUGGACAAUGGGGGCAACCCUGAUCCAGCCAUCCCGCGUGUGCGAUGAAGGCCUUCGGGUUGUAAAGCACUUUUGGCAGGAAAGAAACGUCGCGGGCUAAUACCCCGUGGAACUGACGGUACCUGCAGAAUAAGCACCGGCUAACUACGUG
RNAcentral lists this ribosomal RNA (484 nucleotides) under uncultured bacterium. RNAcentral's name for it is "partial 16S ribosomal RNA". It matches the Rfam family "Bacterial small subunit ribosomal RNA", at positions 30 to 507 of the family's 1533-position model. The record is from RNAcentral.